UGGCGGCAGGCUUAACACAUGCAAGUCGAGCGGUAACAGAGAGUAGUUUACUAUUCUGCUGACGAGCGGCNGACGGGUGAGUAAUGCCUAGGAAUCUGCCUAGUAGUGGGGGAUAACUUGCCGAAAGGUAAGCUAAUACCGCAUACGUCCUACGGGAGAAAGGAGGGGACUCUUCGGAGCCUUUCGCUAUUAGAUGAGCCUAGGUCGGAUUAGUUAGUUGGUGAGGUAAUGGCUCACCAAGACCGCGAUCCGUAGCUGGUCUGAGAGGAUGAUCAGUCACACUGGGACUGAGACACGGUCCAGACUCCUACGGGAGGCAGCAGUGGGGAAUAUUGGACAAUGGGGGAAACCCUGAUCCAGCCAUGCCGCGUGUGUGAAGAAGGUCUUAGGAUUGUAAAGCACUUUAAGUUGGGAGGAAGGGCAGUUAACUAAUAUUUGACUGUUUUGACGUUACCGACAGAAUAAGCACCGGCUAACUUCGUGCCAGCAGCCGCGGUAAUACGAAGNGNGCAAGCGUUAAUCGGAAUUACUGGGCGUAAAGCGNGNGUAGGUGGUUCGUUAAGUUAGGAGUGAAANNCCCGGGCUNAACCUGGGAAUUGCUUCUAAAACUGGCGAGNUAGAGNAUGGUAGAGGGUGGUGGAAUUUCCUGUGUAGCGNNGAAAUGCGUAGAUAUAGGAAGGAACAUCAGUGGCGAAGGCGACCACCUGGACUAAUACCGACACUGAGGUGCGAGAGCGUGGGGAGCAAACAGGAUUAGAUACCCUGGUAGUCCANGCNGUAAACGAUGUCAACUAGUUGUUGGGUUCCUUGAGGACUUAGUAACGCAGCUAACGCAUUAAGUUGACNGCCUGGGGAGU
This 857-nucleotide ribosomal RNA is filed under the name uncultured bacterium. Its description in RNAcentral is "bacterial SSU rRNA". It matches the Rfam family "Bacterial small subunit ribosomal RNA", at positions 37 to 881 of the family's 1533-position model. The record is from RNAcentral.